Molecule: ribosomal RNA, 253 nt
Filed under: uncultured bacterium
Lineage: Bacteria
Description: partial 16S ribosomal RNA
Rfam family: Bacterial small subunit ribosomal RNA
Source: RNAcentral
UACGGGGGGGGCAAGCGUUGUUCGGAAUUACUGGGCGUAAAGGGCUCGUAGGCGGCCAACUAAGUCAGACGUGAAAUCCCUCGGCUUAACCGGGGAACUGCGUCUGAUACUGGAUGGCUUGAAUCCGGGAGAGGGAUGCGGAAUUCCAGGUGUAGCGGUGAAAUGCGUAGAUAUCUGGAGGAACACCAGUAGCGAAGGCGGCACUCUGGGCCGGUACUGACGCUGAGGAGCGAAAGCGUGGGGAGCAAACAGG